Molecule: ribosomal RNA, 1552 nt
Filed under: Staphylococcus aureus
Lineage: Bacteria; Bacillati; Bacillota; Bacilli; Caryophanales; Staphylococcaceae
Description: 16S ribosomal RNA
Rfam family: Bacterial small subunit ribosomal RNA
Source: RNAcentral
UUUAUGGAGAGUUUGAUCCUGGCUCAGGAUGAACGCUGGCGGCGUGCCUAAUACAUGCAAGUCGAGCGAACGGACGAGAAGCUUGCUUCUCUGAUGUUAGCGGCGGACGGGUGAGUAACACGUGGAUAACCUACCUAUAAGACUGGGAUAACUUCGGGAAACCGGAGCUAAUACCGGAUAAUAUUUUGAACCGCAUGGUUCAAAAGUGAAAGACGGUCUUGCUGUCACUUAUAGAUGGAUCCGCGCUGCAUUAGCUAGUUGGUAAGGUAACGGCUUACCAAGGCAACGAUGCAUAGCCGACCUGAGAGGGUGAUCGGCCACACUGGAACUGAGACACGGUCCAGACUCCUACGGGAGGCAGCAGUAGGGAAUCUUCCGCAAUGGGCGAAAGCCUGACGGAGCAACGCCGCGUGAGUGAUGAAGGUCUUCGGAUCGUAAAACUCUGUUAUUAGGGAAGAACAUAUGUGUAAGUAACUGUGCACAUCUUGACGGUACCUAAUCAGAAAGCCACGGCUAACUACGUGCCAGCAGCCGCGGUAAUACGUAGGUGGCAAGCGUUAUCCGGAAUUAUUGGGCGUAAAGCGCGCGUAGGCGGUUUUUUAAGUCUGAUGUGAAAGCCCACGGCUCAACCGUGGAGGGUCAUUGGAAACUGGAAAGCUUGAGUGCAGAAGAGGAAAGUGGAAUUCCAUGUGUAGCGGUGAAAUGCGCAGAGAUAUGGAGGAACACCAGUGGCGAAGGCGACUUUCUGGUCUGUAACUGACGCUGAUGUGCGAAAGCGUGGGGAUCAAACAGGAUUAGAUACCCUGGUAGUCCACGCCGUAAACGAUGAGUGCUAAGUGUUAGGGGGUUUCCGCCCCUUAGUGCUGCAGCUAACGCAUUAAGCACUCCGCCUGGGGAGUACGACCGCAAGGUUGAAACUCAAAGGAAUUGACGGGGACCCGCACAAGCGGUGGAGCAUGUGGUUUAAUUCGAAGCAACGCGAAGAACCUUACCAAAUCUUGACAUCCUUUGACAACUCUAGAGAUAGAGCCUUCCCCUUCGGGGGACAAAGUGACAGGUGGUGCAUGGUUGUCGUCAGCUCGUGUCGUGAGAUGUUGGGUUAAGUCCCGCAACGAGCGCAACCCUUAAGCUUAGUUGCCAUCAUUAAGUUGGGCACUCUAAGUUGACUGCCGGUGACAAACCGGAGGAAGGUGGGGAUGACGUCAAAUCAUCAUGCCCCUUAUGAUUUGGGCUACACACGUGCUACAAUGGACAUUACAAAGGGCAGCAAAACCGCGAGGUCAAGCAAAUCCCAUAAAGUUGUUCUCAGUUCGGAUUGUAGUCUGCAACUCGACUACAUGAAGCUGGAAUCGCUAGUAAUCGUAGAUCAGCAUGCUACGGUGAAUACGUUCCCGGGUCUUGUACACACCGCCCGUCACACCACGAGAGUUUGUAACACCUGAAGCCGGUGGAGUAACCUUUUAGGAGCUAGCCGUCGAAGGUGGGACAAAUGAUUGGGGUGAAGUCGUAACAAGGUAGCCGUAUCGGAAGGUGCGGCUGGAUCACCUCCUUU